This 819-nucleotide ribosomal RNA is filed under the name Colletotrichum sp. ETHCTR116. RNAcentral describes it as "eukaryotic LSU rRNA". It matches the Rfam family "Eukaryotic large subunit ribosomal RNA", at positions 84 to 934 of the family's 3401-position model. Lineage: Eukaryota; Fungi; Ascomycota; Sordariomycetes; Glomerellales; Glomerellaceae. The record is from RNAcentral.
UAACGGCGAGUGAAGCGGCAACAGCUCAAAUUUGAAAUCUGGCCCCAGGCCCGAGUUGUAAUUUGCAGAGGAUGCUUUUGGCGCGGUGCCUUCCGAGUUCCCUGGAACGGGACGCCAUAGAGGGUGAGAGCCCCGUACGGUUGGACACCAAGUCUUUGUAAAGCUCCUUCGACGAGUCGAGUAGUUUGGGAAUGCUGCUCAAAAUGGGAGGUAUAUUUCUUCUAAAGCUAAAUAUUGGCCAGAGACCGAUAGCGCACAAGUAGAGUGAUCGAAAGAUGAAAAGCACUUUGAAAAGAGGGUUAAACAGCACGUGAAAUUGUUAAAAGGGAAGCGCUUAUGACCAGACUUGCGCCCGGUGAAUCACCCAGCUCUCGCGGCUGGGGCACUUUGCCGGCUCAGGCCAGCAUCAGCUCGCUGUCGGGGACAAAAGCUUCGGGAACGUAGCUCUCUUCGGGGAGUGUUAUAGCCCGUUGCACAAUACCCUUCGGCGGGCUGAGGUACGCGCUCCGCAAGGAUGCUGGCGUAAUGGUCAUCAGCGACCCGUCUUGAAACACGGACCAAGGAGUCAACCUUAUGUGCGAGUGUUUGGGUGUCAAACCCCUACGCGUAAUGAAAGUGAACGCAGGUGAGAGCUUCGGCGCAUCAUCGACCGAUCCUGAUGUUCUCGGAUGGAUUUGAGUAAGAGCAUAUAGGGUUGGACCCGAAAGAAGGUGAACUAUGCGUGUAUAGGGUGAAGCCAGAGGAAACUCUGGUGGAGGCUCGCAGCGGUUCUGACGUGCAAAUCGAUCGUCAAAUAUGCGCAUGGGGGCGAAAGACUAA